UAAGCGGAGGAAAGAAACUAACAAGGAUUCCCCUAGUAACGGCGAGUGAAGUGGGAAAAGCUCAACUUUGUAAUCUGGCAGCUUCGCUGUCCGACUUGUAGUCUCGAGAAGUGUUUUCCGCGUUGGAUCGUGUAUGAGUCUGUUGGAAUACAGCGUCAUAGAGGGUGAGAACCCCGUUCAUGACACGACUACCAAUGCUUUGUGAUACACUUUCGAUGAGUCGAGUUGUUUGGGAAUGCAGCUCAAAAUGGGUGGUAAAUUCCAUCUAAAGCUAAAUAUUGGUGAGAGACCGAUAGCAAACAAGUACCGUGAGGGAAAGAUGAAAAGCACUUUGGAAAGAGAGUUAAAAGUACGUGAAAUUGUUGAAAGGGAAACGCUUGAAGUCAGACGUGCGCGAUAUUUAUAUCACUGCAGGCCAGCAUCGGUUUUAUUAGCCGGAUAAAGGUAUAAGAAAGGUGGCAGUCUCGGCUGUGUUAUAGUCUUAUACUGAAUACGGAAGGUGAGACCGAGGGACGCAGCGCGCCGUAAGGCAAAGGAUUCGUCCUUUUCGCGCUUAGGAUGCUGGUGAAAUGGCUUUAAUCGACCCGUCUUGAAACACGGACC
RNAcentral lists this ribosomal RNA (603 nucleotides) under uncultured Cyphobasidiales. RNAcentral's name for it is "eukaryotic LSU rRNA". It matches the Rfam family "Eukaryotic large subunit ribosomal RNA", at positions 47 to 667 of the family's 3401-position model. The record is from RNAcentral. Lineage: Eukaryota; Fungi; Basidiomycota; Cystobasidiomycetes; Cyphobasidiales.